Molecule: long non-coding RNA, 4928 nt
Organism: Carya illinoinensis
Lineage: Eukaryota; Viridiplantae; Streptophyta; Magnoliopsida; Fagales; Juglandaceae
Exons: 3
Source: RefSeq, a predicted model, not a curated record
GAUUGUGUCAGUGAUAUUUUCCAGAAGAAUUUUAUACCACACAAAUAUUUCAUUCUCGGCUUCGUAUUCCUCCCAAGUUCUCUCUCUCAACUCAAACCCAUUCUCUAUUCGAUCUCUCUACCUUGCGACCCUCGAUUUCUUUUCGUGUUACUGAAACCCAAAGCACCAAAACUGUUGAUAAUGGCAGUGCCUUGGAGAAAAUGACUACAACCGUGGCAGAGAAUUCUAAGGAAUCUUGUGGGCCUGUGACAUUGGAAAAUGCUUCGACCGCCAGUGACAUCGUCAACCGUGGGAAGAGCAAGGAGGCCCUUGUUGCGGCAACGAUCACUCAGGGAGCUACGCCGGCUGUGAUGGUGGAUAAGCAGAAGAGUUCGUUCUCUUCGUGGAGUAUAUAUCAGAAGCGUAACAACCCGGCGACAACCUUCGAGACCUCGAUACUAUGAGGUCAGAGUCCUCGGAUGUGAGGUCUCAAAGACGAAGAAAAGCAUUCUCUCACGCUGUGUAUUUCUCGGUUGCUCUUCUUUGUUCUUGUUGCCUAUGCGCUGUGGGUAUGGUGCGUUGUGCGGUAAUGGCUUGGUCGGCUGCUGAUGGGAAGGCUAGAGAUAGGCUGCUGGAGAGAGUUCAGAGGAAAAGCCAUAGGCAAGUCGAUCUUAUCUCUCUUAUCCCCAAACCAAAGGCCAAGGAAGAGAAGAAGCCUAAGGAGAAAGAGCCUCCCAAGCCUGAAGAGAAGAAAGAAGAGGUUUUUUCUUUUAUUUUUUCCGAGGAAACAAAAUCUUUUGUAGAUUCUCAAAAUUUUCAUCUUUUUUCUUAUUUGUUGAUUCAUUUGAGGCCUCUGGGUUCAUUAUGUAAUUGUUUGAUACAACCUCAUAUUGUCACAGUGGUGCUGAAGGUUCACAUGCAUUGCGAUGCCUGUGCACAAGAAAUAAAAAAAUGCAUACUAAAAAUGAAUGGUAUGAUCAGACUAUUUUUCAUCUUUACGACUAAUGCAAUUUUGGCUUUUACUUGUUGAGUAUCUGUAAAUGAUUUCGUUGGCAGCUAAUGGUUUUGGCCAUAUUAUUAAUUUUUGUUAACUUUUGAGUCUCUUAAAAGAAAAUAGUUUUUUCUCUUACCAUUAAACCAACCGGAGGCUUUUCUUCAAUAUAUUGUUAUACUUUGAGAAUCCACUCUUUCUGGUCCCAAUCAAAGCUCUUUCAAUUUUCAUGAAUUAUUAUAUAGUUUAAAAUCAUUGAAUCACAACUUUAAAUGCGUCUUUGUAAAACUAUUACUUAUCUAAAAUAAGUGGAAAAGGGCUACAUCAAUAGGAAGUCUUGUGUAGUGUAAAAUGGGGCAAAGAUGUGUCAGUAGGUUUGUCCUUCUCAAGCAUUGGUUGAACAUCUCAAGCCCUGUUACUUGUGUACGUAUUCAAAGGUGUUGGUCUGUCCAUUUGGUUUAAAAUAGCUUGCGGAUGUUUGAUGCCUGUGAGUUAUGAAGCAUUUUUUUCAUUCAUUUCUUAUUUCUUAUUUUUAUUCAAGGUGAAAUUGAUUUUUUUAAAAGUGAAUGGAACAUGCAUUUAAAACAAAAGUUUACUAAUGAUGACGAGUAGACGUUAACAUGUUCAUUAAUGAGUUGGUUUGAACAGCGUCCUUAUCUAAUAAGGUUUCUUCAUUACAAUAAUGAAUUUGUUUCUUUGCCUCUAAAUGUACAGAUACCAAUAUCUAACUUUUCUCUAAUCUGUUUACAGGUAUGGAUUUAGCAAAGAAGUUGUUGAUCAAUGCCCUAGUAUACUUAUCUUGUUGCCCUUGUUAUUUCAAAAUUUUCUGAACUUCAUACUAUUAGUAUUUUUUCUUGUGUGCAAAGGGUGAACAUCUAGUUAUUUAUAUCUCUUUUUACUUAUAAAAAAAAAUAAAUGGUGAAAAUCUGGUGUAUGUCUGAGGCAUGGACCUAAUACUACUAGAAAGUGUGGUAAAAUAUUAGGGUGAGGAGACAGUUGCAGCCUUUUUUCUUUGUUUAGGCACAUAAUCUUAAAAUUUGCUACAGAAUUGAGGUUUGAUUGACUAUUUGAUGUAGGACAAAUUUUGACAUAUGCCUACAAUUGCACUACUGAUUGAUAAUAUAUUUCUAGGCAACCUUAUCUUGGCACCUUGGAAGUUUGCCUAUGACUACAGAGUGCCUUAUGUAGUUAAUGGUAUCGGUCCGUCUUGGUAUAAUUUUAUCCAUAUGAUUGUGUCCUGUCAACUCUUCCAUUAGCUCUCACAUGGAUAUAUAUAUUGAUGUGGUAAUUGCUGUUUUUGUUUGUUUUUUUUUAAUGCCAACUUCAUUGCCUAAUUCUUGUGUGCUAUUGAAUCUUUUGUGUGCUUGCACUCAUUAUUUCAGAUCAGUUUCACUGGUUCCAUAGAAGUAGGACGUAAAGUAAUGCAAAAGUCAGCUGCAAGUAAUUUGAAAGUUGUUUCACUUGAAUUAGGAGGCAAGUCCACCCCCCCUAAAAAAAAAAAAGUUUCGACAAUGCCGAUGUUAAUAUAGUAGCUAUUGAUCUUGCUCUCUUCGAUAUCCUAUAUAACAAGGUGAUUUUUUUUCUUUACUUUUUGCUUCCUUCUGAUAGACAUGCAAUUUAUAUAUAUUCUUUUUCCAAAAAGGAAAAAAAAGGUAGUUUUAAUGACAUUUUUAUCAUGGUUUUAUAUCGAUAGGGAGAAAUAUGCAUCACAAGUUCUCAUGUUUACAUUCAAGAAUGGGAUAUAUAAGGAACUUGUGAAGAAAUUAGUGGAAAAGGCAAAAGUUUGAGCGGUUGGGGAUCUUUUUGAUCCUAAAGUUCAACAAGGACCUCACGUACGAAGAGGGCUAGGCUUUAAUCUCUCUUUUUGUUUUCGUUCGUAGGGUACAAAGUUCUGUUUUAGUCAUUGCUUGUCUAAAACAUUUAAAUUGAUAGAAGAGAUAAAUUUAAUUAUUUGAUUUAUAUUUUACGAGCAAAAAUAGAGUAUAUUUAUUUUAACUAUCUUCCUUUGUAAAAUCACUUCUUCUUCUUCUUCUUCUUCUUUUUUUUUAUUUUUUAUUUUUUAUUUUUUUAUUUUUAUUUUUAAACUUGUAUAGAUAAGAAGCAAUUUGAAAAAGUUCUUUCCUACAUCAAGCAUGGCAAGAGGGGAGCAACACUACUAAUCGGGGGCAAGCCAUAGGGUGAGAACAUGCACAUGGGGAAACUUUCUUUUUAGAGGGAUUAUUUUUACUCAUUUCCCUCCAUCUAUCACUUUUAUGGACAACUUACUGGUGAUUAAAUAGGAAGAAAUGCUGAUAGCAAAGAAUGAAAUAUUUGGACCUGUUAUGGCACUUGCCAAGCUCAGGUGGGUAUCUUCCACUAUAAUUGUUGUAGGAGACCAUGUCUUUGGGUGCCACAAUCUAUAAUUGUUGUAGGAGACAGGUUGUUAAUUAGCUCAAAGAUAAGUAUGUAGUGCAACCAAAAAAAAAAAAAAAAAUGGCUUUACACAAUACAUGCUUAACUUCAUUGGAUAUUUUGCAAUUAUAUUCCCAAUUUCCCUGAUAUGCAGUUCUUUUAAAAUCAUUGCCGUGUUUCUUUUGUGAAGUUUCAUCUGCUCUCAAGUGUUGGUUUUGUGGUUCUGGCUUUGUUAAGUGGAUCUUUGAAUGUGAGUUUACGGGUGUGUGUGACUUGCAAUGCAUGGUUAGUUAAAGUGGGUAUUGCAUCGCAUGUGGUAUGUUUAUAGUGGGUAAGUGGUAGAAUGUGCAGUCAGUUCAUGGGAGAGGGAGUAAAGAUUAUGGGGUGUUUGCACUUAUAUUUAGCUAUUUAAUUAGCAUGAUUUAUGUCUCCUAUGCAGAAAAAACUAUAAUUUUAAUUCCCAUGUAAGUUUCUUUGCUAAAAGUUGUAUGAGACUAUCGUAUGUUCUAACUUAUAUGUGUCUAACUUAGUACUUUAUUAAUAUAAUCUAAUUAUUGUGCAUCCUUAGCCAAUAUUGUGAACUAAUAGCUACUUCAAUGAGAUCCAAUUCGGUGUGGCAUGUAGGGAGUUAUAUUGCUCAUAAAUUUGUAGUAAGAAAAUAAAAUCUUACCUUGUUAUGGGCCAUAAGAAAGUUGGUAAACUAUCUUGGUGUCGUAUCAAACAUCUUGGAUCAAAACUUGCUUUCAGGUGGGCCGGAUUGGGUGAUUUAUGUAGGAUUUUCCAUGUUGAGUUAUCCUACUAUUGCAAUUUGGUCUGGAAAAAUAAUUGUGCAAAUUUCAUUCCCUGUUAACAUAUUCUCGAUAUUUGUUUUGUCCCAUGUUACUUCAGUUUCCCAUUAGGUAGAAAUAAUUGAUUUGUUUGUUUAUUUUCCAGGCACCAAAGCUCUUCUUUACUUUUCAAAAUUGUACCUACCACAGUUGUAACUAAGUUUUGCAGAUCUUCUAUCUAUCCCGGCACGAAAUCACCAACAAAAUAGAACUUCCCAUGAUUGUAUUUUUAAAGUAAUAUGUAAAAAUAUAAUUGAAUAUGAAUUGAUAACUGUUUGCAUAGUAUGCAUGGAAAUUUGCCUACAAUAAAGUAAUUUCCUAACCCUAAGGGGUAGCUUAAUUGGUUAGGCCUUGGGUUUGCUCUCCAAUGGUCACUAGUUCGAGUCCCCUCAGGGCCACUGGAGAAUUUACCUGGUCGUUAACUUUAGAGCCCCUUAAGAUUAGUCGAGGUGAGCAUAAGCUGGCCCGGACACCCAAGGUUAUUAAAAAAAAAAAAAAAGUAAUUUCCUAUGCUUUAAGUUAUUACAACUUUAAUACCGAAACCUUUAUGUUGUAUUGUAAUGAAUACAAUUUUUUUUCAUCAUUUUGUGUUGAUUCAGCAGUGAAGGUUGUACAUCAGGCUUUCCACCAUGGUCCAUGUCUUUGGGUGCCACAAUCUAUUAUUGUUGUAGGAGACAACUUGUUAUAUUUCAAUUUCUCAUAUAUACAGUUGUUUUAAUACAAUUGCUGUGUUUUUCUUU